AGAGCGAACGCUGGCGGCAUGCUUAACACAUGCAAGUCGCACGGGCAGGGGCAACUCUGUCAGUGGCGGACGGGUGAGUAACGCGUAGGUAUCUAUCCUUGGGUGGGGGACAACUGUGGGAAACUACAGCUAAUACCGCAUGAUGACCGAGGUCUAAAGGCGUCCGGGGUAACCUGGUGCGUCGCCUGAGGAGGAGCCUGCGUACGAUUAGCUAGUUGGUGGGGUAAAGCCUACCAAGGCGACGAUCGUUAGCUGGUCUGAGAGGAUGAUCAGCCACAUUGGGACUGAGACACGGCCCAAACUCCUACGGGAGGCAGCAGUGGGGAAUAUUGGACAAUGGGCGCAAGCCUGAUCCAGCAAUGCCGCGUGUGUGAAGAAGGUCUUCGGAUUGUAAAGCACUUUCGACGGGGACGAUGAUGACGGUACCGUAGAAGAAGCCCGGUUAACUCGUGCCAGCAGCCGC
Molecule: ribosomal RNA, 463 nt
Filed under: uncultured bacterium
Lineage: Bacteria
Description: SSU rRNA
Rfam family: Bacterial small subunit ribosomal RNA
Source: RNAcentral